This 1419-nucleotide long non-coding RNA is filed under the name Coturnix japonica (Japanese quail). RNAcentral's name for it is "lncRNA (ENSCJPG00005018365.1)". Lineage: Eukaryota; Metazoa; Chordata; Aves; Galliformes; Phasianidae. The record is from RNAcentral.
AUGGACAGCCCACCGCCAGGCUCUACGCUCAGCUUCCCCUUAACCCCCUGCAGCACUACGGGCCGGUCCACGCGAACCGUAGAACCAACCGCUGAGUCCCCGAACCUUCCCGCCGGGGAGAGAGGACCCGCCGGCACAGCAAGGAGCGCAGCAAGGAGCGCAGCAAGGAGCGCAGCAAGGAGCGCAGCAAGGAGCGCAGCAAGGAGCGCAGCGGAGGCACGCGGCGGCUCCAGCAGCAUCGCUCCGUCCGCCCCGUCCCGCGGGCAGCGCCGGCCCGCACCGACCCCACCUGCGCGGCCUGCCCCCGGGCCGGCUUCCGGCAGCGCGGAGCGGUGCGGCGGGACACAAGGAGCUCCGCGCUGCUUUGUUCGGCGUUCCCGCACCUCAAACGCAUCCCAAAGAGCCGAGUCCCCGUCGGAACAAAACGGCGGAACGGGGAAAGGCGACAGAAACGCGCGCAUGCCCCGCACCGAGCGCGUCUCAGCCACACGUAGAGCCGGCAGCCCGCAAGGACCGAACCCGAACGCGAGAUCCCGCCCGGCCGCGGGGGCGCCGGGAGCGCGCCGCGAUACUGCGGCACAGCGCGGGGCGAGGUGCCGAGCGGCGCCCGGAGCUCUGCGGCACUGCGCCCGGCCCCGUCUCGCCGAGCGCCGUCCCCGACACCCGCCCCGGCUCCCGCCGCCCUCCCGCACUUGCCUUCGCCUCAUGCCGCCCGUGGCGCUGCCGGCGGGGCUCGGCGCGGCCCGACUCGGCCCUGCCCGCCGCGGACGGAGGGGCGGCGGCGCGCGCGCGCACACCUUGCCAGCCCGCGCGUCUCGCUCCGUAGCGCCUCGUUCCGUAGCGCCCCGCCUCGAGCAUCGGGAGCGGAGGGCGCCGAGAGGGAGGAGCGCGGGACGGAGAAACGCCCCCAACUCCCGCCCCGCUGUAUCGUGGGCGGGAGGGCAGCGGCUCCUGCCGCCGGGCACGCGGAGCUCCGAACGGGUUAAAACGAGCACGCAGUCGGGCACCGCGCGCAGCCACAAAGGGACGAGCUGCCCCCAGCCCCCCCGCGCUGCGCGGCGAUGGUUCGCUCCCCGCUCUAGAAUCAAACAGGCCCGGAGCCCAUUGGCCGCGCGGCGGGGCGAGGCCGGGGCGCGCCAAAGCCGGCGGAGCGGAGAUGGGGAAGGAAGGAAGGGAGGGGGCGGGGACGAGGCGCCGCCGCUUAAAGACACCGGGAAGGCGCCGCGGGAGCGCGCCACGGCAACCGUUGUGGUGCGCGUGUCCGCCCGCAAACCGAGAUACCUCCCGGCUGUAACUGCACGCUGCCCUCACGGCCAUACGCGGGCUUCAUUAACCGCCGCGUGGGGUGGGAGGAAAGUGUGGAUCAGAGCUUGCCAUGGCUGGAGAGGAGCUUAUAAAGGCACAGCGAGGAAGAGCUAA